UUAAAGUGGACAUGCACAUGUGAGUGUCAUUGCCUGGAAUUAACUACCUUUCGCAGUGAUUGCAAGCACUGAGUAAAACAGCAGGAGAAAAUUUUGGAACAUUGGAAAUCUUGUCUUGAAGGCCAGAGUUUCCUCUUCAUGGCACAUUAUUUGACUUGAACAAAUUUCCUAUUGCAACCAGCAAAAUCCCUAAAAAGAUAAGAUUUAUCAGUCCAUUUUUUAACUGAUUUUUUUAAUGUCUGUAGGCAUUGAAAUUGGGAAUAGAGUAAACAAUGGUGGAGGUUGUUGGAUGGGAGUAGCAUGAAACUAUGAUGAGUUUUCAUUUGCACGCAUAAUCCCGGCCUGUGCCAAAAUGGGAUAUUUGGAACAGGGUAUGGUCAUCCAUCAAUACAUAAUGGAAGGGAAAUUACAGUUGAAAAUGCUCUGGUAGACAUGCUUGCAACAUGUUGAAGCAUAGACAAGGCACGUGAACUGUUUGACAAUAUGCCUCAAAGAAAUGUGGUUUCGUCGAAUGCUAUGAUUGCGGGAUAUUAACAAAAUGGGUUUAUUGAAAAGGUUUUACAAACUUCCAACUAAAUGCAAUUGGCAGGUGUAAAGCUAGACUCUACAAGCUUUGCCAGCAUCCUCCUAGCCUGUACCAAAUGGGAGCUUUGGAACAGGGUAUGGACAUCCAUCAAAGCUUAAAGGGUUGAGGAAUUAUAUCAGAUGAUAUAGCUGCAACUGCCCUGGUAGAAAAUGUAUGCAAAAUGUGGAAGCAUAGACAGAGCACGUAAUCUGUUUGACAAAAUGCCUCUAAGAAUUGUUUACAGAAUGCCAUGAUUGUAGGUUAUGCAAAAUGAGAAAGUAUAGACAAGGCACCUGAACUGUUUGACAGAAUGCUCCAAAGUGUACUGUUCUAGUAGAACGCCCUGAUCGUGGAAAUUUAACAAAAUGGGUUUCUUGAAAAUGCUUUAUAGACUUCCAACCAAAUGCAAGUGGCAGGUGUAAAGCUAGACUCUACAACCUUUGCCUGCAUCCUCCUAGCCCGUGCCAAAUGGGAGUGCUUUGGAACAGGGUAUGGAUAUCCAUCAGAUGUUGUAGCUGCAACUGCCCUUGUAGACAUGUAUGCAAAAUUUGGAAGCAUAGAUAAGGCAUGCGAGCUUUUUGACAGAAUGCCUCUAAGAAUUGUUUAGAGGCUGCAAUGAUUAUAGGAUGCGUGAAAUGUGGAAACAUAGCCAGGGUACCUGAACUGUUUGACAGAAUGCCUCAAAGCGCACUGUUCUAGUGGAAUGCCUUGGAUUGCGGUGGGUUUGUUGAAAAGGCCUUAGAAGCUUCCAAUCAAAUGCAAUUGGCAGGUAUAAAGCCAGACUCUACAAACUUUUCCAGCAUCCUUGCAGCCUAUGCCAAAUGGGAGCUUCGGAACAGGUAUGGACAUCCAUCAAAGCAUAAAGGAUAAAAGAAUUUUGACAGAGGUGGUUGCAACAACUGUGCUAGACAUUUAUGCAAAGGUGGUUGCAUAUUUUAAAACCCACAUAUUCAAUUUCUAAUUUUCUGAAGUCAUUUUCAUAUCAUAUUCAACUGUAUAGUUCCUUUGUUUGAAUUAACUGUUAGAAUAAGACACCAUGAACCAAUUCAAAUAAGACAUGGACAUGUAGUUGAUUUACUCACCAACUAGAAGCAUUUAGUCAUACAUGAUAAUGUCUAAAAGGUGCAUGGCUAUUUUCCUAGUUAUUUGGAACAACAUCAAAUGAAUAUAAUCACCCCUCUACCUAUUAUGUAGAAUAUAAUGAAUAGACAACCUUUUAACGUUGGUUAUCAUUAUUUUGAUA
Long non-coding RNA from Cryptomeria japonica (Japanese cedar), 1808 nucleotides. RefSeq lists it as uncharacterized. The transcript has 2 exons. NCBI's taxonomy places the organism in Eukaryota, Viridiplantae, Streptophyta, Pinopsida, Cupressales, Cupressaceae. The record is from RefSeq and is a predicted model, not a curated record.